AGGCGCUCUCCCUCCCAGUCUGUGCUGAACCCAAUGUCCCAAUGCGGCACUAGGGGGCGCUGUGCUGCAUUGAGUGGAGUGGGGGCUCAGCAGGGGGUGCUGUCCCCUCCCAGUCAGUGCUGAACCCAAUGUCCCAGUGCAACACUGGGGGGUGCUGUGCUACAGGGAAAAGCGUUAGUGACUCAACAGAGGGUGCGCUUUCUUCUGAGUCAGCACUGGUCCCCGGGCCCUAUCAAGGUUUUAGGGGAUGCAAUGCUACUGAAACUGCCAUUUGUCAGCUGACUUAUCAAACAGAGGUUCUGGUCAUUAAAUGUCCUGUGACCCUUUCAACAAGGGUUAGGGUCCUGGUGCUCUGGCUGAAUUCUAAUUUAGGUAUUUAAUUUCUCUCUGCCUAACAUCCUCCUCUGUCUGGGUUCAACUGGCUGCAUAAUUCUUUCUUUUUCCUCCUAAAAUCGGUUGUGUUGCUGGUGGAGAAUGGCUGUUGUGCUCCAUGCCAGAGGUGGCUGCAUUUCAGUGGGAACUGAGUUGCAAUAAAUCCUUUACUUACGGCUCAGAUUUUGGUUUCAUUUACACUGCUGCAAACACGGAGCUAGUCAAAGGAAGUCAGUGAAGUUACUGCAGAUUGCACAGCUGUACCUGAAACCAGAAUCUGGUCACAGCCUGUAUAAUGCUUUGGAAUCAUGCUGGAUGGCACUGUAUAAAUGGGAGGUACCAUUGUUAACAAUAAUCUCUCAACCAUUGUGUUUGCACCUCACAGAUCUGGGACUCCGUGGAGAAGAGUGACAUUGGCUGUACAGCUGGCAGUGGAAAGAACAAUCUGGGGGUAUUUACGGAUGCUGGACUGGCCCUGGAGACGAGCAAUAGGAUUUCCACAGUCCAGAGAACAGAUCCAGAGUGUCCCCGGCCAGCAAAACGCCGACGUCGCUCCGUUCAGCUCAUUGAAUAUAAGGCAAUCAAAAGUAGGUACUAAUCAGGGGGUUUGCUGUCCUUGGUCAAAGCAAGCAUGCGAAGCAGGAAUGUGAUUCCCUAGUGUGAGCAGUUUCACCCUGCUACAGCCUCCUGCCAGCUGCAUUUCUUGUAACAUGAGAUGAGGGAGUCUGGAUAGACUUCCAUAUGAGGAGAGAUUGGAACUGGUCAAUUUAUAGAGGCGAUGCGAUAGACAUAUAGAAAAUAAUGAAUGGUAAAUAGCUCUUUGGGGCACGGACCGUCUCUCCCAGCACUGUGGGGUUCUGGGCCAUGACUGGGGACCCAAAGUGCUACUACAAUUCAAAUAACAACAACAGGUACAUUGUUACAUUACCCAUAUAAGCAGAAGGAGACACUCAACCCAACGGAAUGGUUUCUAAUUAAGAAUUUAU
This 1358-nucleotide long non-coding RNA is filed under the name Chrysemys picta bellii (western painted turtle). Its description in RNAcentral is "lncRNA (ENSCPBG00000015619.1)". The record is from RNAcentral. Lineage: Eukaryota; Metazoa; Chordata; Testudines; Emydidae.